Molecule: long non-coding RNA, 470 nt
Filed under: Jatropha curcas
Lineage: Eukaryota; Viridiplantae; Streptophyta; Magnoliopsida; Malpighiales; Euphorbiaceae
Description: long non-coding RNA (JCUR_LNC003374)
Source: RNAcentral
ACCCAAGCAGGUCUCUUCACCUCUACCAUCACCGCCCCAAAAUCCAACAAGCUUCCAUGGAAGCCCACCUCUUCCUUCUCCACUCCAAAGCUUGUGGCUCUGUCCAAAAGAUCUCUCAAAAUUGCAGCAGCAGCUGAAGAGAAAACUGAAGCAGCUCCAACGAAAGAGGCUGCUCCAGUUGGCUUCACUCCACCUGAACUAGACCCAAACACACCCUCUCCAAUCUUCAGCGGCAGCACUGGAGGCUUACUGCGGAAGGCACAGGUCGAAGAGUUCUAUGUCAUUACAUGGGAUUCACCAAAAGAGCAGAUCUUUGAGAUGCCAACUGGAGGAGCAGCUAUCAUGAGGCAAGGACCUAAUCUGCUGAAAUUGGCCAGAAAGGAACAGUGUUUGGCUCUUGGUACUAGAUUGAGAUCUAAGUACAAGAUCAAAUACCAGUUUUAUAGGGUUUUUCCUAAUGGAGAGGUCCA